AGUCGGAGUUGGAGACUCGGUCCGGCUCCCAUAGGAGUCUGGGCGAAGUCUAGAAGAUGGUCGAUCAUCAUGGAAAUUUGGGUGGAGUCCAUCCGUCGCAAAGAAUUCGGUCGACGCUGGUGGGGGCUUAUCCGUCAGCAAAACUUGGGAGUGUCGCGGAGGCUCGACUGCCUGGGAGGUUUGAAGAGACAUCGUCGGAGGUCAGAAGUCGGUUGGAUCCCCGGAGGGUCACUCCUGUCACGAACUUCGGCUGGAGGGUAUUUUAUACCCAACUUAUAGGAUGCAAUCUCCUCUUAUUAG
RNAcentral lists this long non-coding RNA (300 nucleotides) under Elaeis guineensis (African oil palm). RNAcentral describes it as "long non-coding RNA (EGUI_LNC056200)". The record is from RNAcentral. Lineage: Eukaryota; Viridiplantae; Streptophyta; Magnoliopsida; Arecales; Arecaceae.